CACACACACACACACACACCCUGGAUUGCAGAAACACAAAAGGAGCUGACUAAAAAGGACUCCAUCUCAGGGGAACUAAACGGAGACAAUAAGAGGUUUUUCUUUGCAUCAAAGUAUUCCAGCUAAUAACUGAAGGAAAAAUAGAAGACAUGAUCAUUUUACCAACUCUAAUAAAGAAAGACCUCUAGGUUUGGCCUUGAGUUAAUUAUCACUGAAGGGAGCCGUCAGCACUUGGAAACACCGCAAAGGAAAUCGGCACUGUCAUGCCCAUCCCGAUUCCUGGAAACAUCAAAACCCACGGAGUGAGAGUACUGUGGACAGAACCGGCUCCACACAAACACAGACAGAACUUGCUCAGAACUGUGAGAGAUCUGCCCGUCUCGUUCUUCUUCCGAGACUGGAUGUUUUCGUUCUUGAAAUUUAUAAUCAACCUUUUAUAGUGAAAUGGGGCCUAUUUCUCGCUUGGUCAAGUAGCAGAAACAUUUGGGAAUCAGAAGAUCUGGAUUCUAUCUUGGCUCUGUCCUGCUACCUUGAUUAGGAUCUCCUCUGCAAAGUCCCUAUCGGCUGCAGGCCUCAGUUCCUACAUCUGCAACAUUGGGGUUAUAAUGUCCCCUUACAGUGCUGUCUGCAGGAUCAAAAUAGCUCAGGCACUUGAAAGCUCUGUGUGGACUGUUAAGCGCUAGACUCUCUCCAUCCCUAGGGUCAAGUUGGUUCUACUACCAAGAACUGCACCCAGCUGCUUCAAGAACAUUGUAUGGAU
This is a long non-coding RNA of Suricata suricatta (meerkat), 760 nucleotides long. RefSeq lists it as uncharacterized. The transcript has 5 exons. The record is from RefSeq and is a predicted model, not a curated record. Lineage: Eukaryota; Metazoa; Chordata; Mammalia; Carnivora; Herpestidae.